Molecule: ribosomal RNA, 709 nt
Filed under: uncultured bacterium
Lineage: Bacteria
Description: bacterial SSU rRNA
Rfam family: Bacterial small subunit ribosomal RNA
Source: RNAcentral
GNNUCGGGGUCAAAGCCCGGUGCCGCAGCUAANGCAUUAAGNAUUCCGCCUGGGGAGUACGGUCGCAAGACUGAAACUCAAAGGAAUUGACGGGGACCCGCACAAGCAGCGGAGCAUGUGGUUUAAUUCGAAGCAACGCGAAGAACCUUACCAGGUCUUGACAUCCCUCUGAAUGGCGCUUAGCAGCGCAGGUCUUUCGGGACAGAGGAGACAGGUGGUGCAUGGUUGUCGUCAGCUCGUGUCGUGAGAUGUUGGGUUAAGUCCCGCAACGAGCGCAACCCUUGCCUUUAGUUGCCAGCACAUCAUGGUGGGCACUCUAGAGGGACUGCCGGUGACAAACCGGAGGAAGGUGGGGAUGACGUCAAAUCAUCAUGCCCCUUAUGAUCUGGGCUACACACGUGCUACAAUGGCCGGUACAACGAGAAGCGAAACCGCGAGGUGAAGCAAAUCUUAUAAAGCCGGUCCCAGUUCGGAUUGCAGGCUGAAACUCGCCUGCAUGAAGUUGGAGUUGCUAGUAAUCGCGGAUCAGCAUGCCGUGGUGAAUGCGUUCCCGGGUCUUGUACACACCGCCCGUCACACCAUGGAAGUUGGGGGGACCCGAAGCCAGUGAUCCAACCGUAAGGAGGAAGCUGUCGAAGGUAAAACCAAUGACUGGGGUGAAGUCGUAACAAGGUAGCCGUAUCGGAAGGUGCGGCUGGAUCACCUCCUU